This 95-nucleotide small RNA is filed under the name Arabidopsis thaliana (thale cress). RNAcentral describes it as "ATSL178850". Lineage: Eukaryota; Viridiplantae; Streptophyta; Magnoliopsida; Brassicales; Brassicaceae. The record is from RNAcentral.
AUUGUUAACAAAUAUGUUUAUGCUAAUUUUAAGGGAUUGAUUUGAAGUUUGGUGGGAUUAAAUUUGAUUGAUAAUGUGAUUGACAAUUUAAAUCA